AACCUACCUUUUAGUACGGGACAACGUUUGGAAACGAACGCUAAUACCGUAUACGCCCUCCGGGGGAAAGGUCAGCCGCUGAAAGAGGGGCCCGCGUCUGAUUAGCUUGUUGGUAAGGUAACGGCUUACCAAGGCAACGAUCAGUAGCUGGUCUGAGAGGAUGAUCAGCCACACUGGGACUGAGACACGGCCCAGACUCCUACGGGAGGCAGCAGUGGGGAAUAUUGGACAAUGGAGGCAACUCUGAUCCAGCAAUGCCGCGUGUGUGAUGAAGGCCCUAGGGUUGUAAAGCACUUUCAACGGUGAAGAUGAUGACGGUAGCCGUAGAAGAAGCCCCGGCUAACUUCGUGCCAGCAGCCGCGGUAAUACGAAGGGGGCGAGCGU
This 384-nucleotide ribosomal RNA is filed under the name uncultured bacterium. RNAcentral describes it as "bacterial SSU rRNA". It matches the Rfam family "Bacterial small subunit ribosomal RNA", at positions 123 to 541 of the family's 1533-position model. The record is from RNAcentral.